AUCGCAGCUGACUGCAGCCUCAACCUUCCAGGCUGAAGCGAUCCUCCCACCUCAACCUCCCACGUGGCUGAGACUACAGGUGCUUGCCACUAUGCCCAACUAACAUUUGGAAUUUUCGUAUACGUGGAUUCCAGAGGGGUGACAGCGAAACCUGCAGGACAAGUUCGAGCAUCUUAAAAUGAUUCAACAGGAGGAGAUAAGGAAGCUCGAGGAAGAGAAAAAACAACUGGAAGGAGAAAUCAUAGAUUUUUAUAAAAUGAAAGCUGCCUCUGAAGCACUGCAGACUCAGCUGAGCACCGAUACAAAGAAAGACAAACAUCCUGAUCCAUAUGAAUUCCUCUUAUUAAGAAAAAUAAAGCAUCCAGGAUUCAAUGAAGAACUGACUAUCACCUUGUUAAUCAUUCAGAAACAUGUUGCAGGCUUAAGCCAUUUUUGAUAUAGAUACUGAAACAAUUACUUGCUAAGAGCAAACUUGAAGGUAUGGAUAAGGCCCUGAGUCAUCUUCCUGAGCUGAAUGAUAGUUAAGCUGAAUGUACGUAUAAAAUAUGAUUUUCUAACCACUUGCUCGCCAACAAGGAAAACUUUUAAGUAGAGCAGAACCUGAAUAGACAAGACAUUUCUUUCUUUUGGUAGAAAAUGAUUUACCAUCACUGUGUAGUUAAUUGUAGACUAGGUAAUUUUAACUUUGUGAUUUAUUGCCGGAGACAUUUUCUUCUGUACUGUAAAGUGUGUGUCAAAAAAAAAAAAUAGCGAUUUUGGAGGAUUAGGGGACUUUGAUAAAUUGCCUGCAAUUCUGGCAGUAUGAACUGCAUAUUAAUUUCUCUCUUUCAAGAACAUUUUUAUUUAUUAAUUCCUUACAAAAACUCCCUAAACUUUGGAACAGCUCUCAAUUGCCUGUAUUC
RNAcentral lists this long non-coding RNA (902 nucleotides) under Homo sapiens (human). Its description in RNAcentral is "novel transcript". Lineage: Eukaryota; Metazoa; Chordata; Mammalia; Primates; Hominidae. The record is from RNAcentral.